UUUACUCUGAUGCUUUUACAAAUGUUCCAUUUUCAAAGAGAUUUGUGAAAAAGGCUUUGAGAAGUACUCUGAAAUACAGGUGUUGAUAAUUUUAAGAUCAUAACAGUGAACUGGGUGGGAAUUUUUGGAAAUUGAGUGGAGGACUGAUUACUUUGAAGUUUUGUUUUCCAGAUUUAAAGGACCCCCUUUUCUCCUCUCCUUUAAGCUAUCUGUAACUUAACAGCCGUUUCAUAAAGUGUAUCUUUGCAACAAGGGUUGCAACAUUUAUCUUUUUCUCUCGCCUGAUUCCUCUAGAAUUUGGAAGUUCUUAAGUGUUCUUUUUCAUGACAAUGUUUGGUUAUAUGCCUGAAAGCUGGACUGGAUCCUAAAUUCUUCUAAUUUCCUUAAAUGGCUGUGAUGAGCCAAACUGAAAUUUCCAAUUUUACUGCCCUUGAAAUCUCCUUGGAAGGGACUAUAUCGAGUCUUCCUCACUACCCUGGUGGCAGCCAAACUUGAGAGACUUGAGCCUUUGGUACACACCUCACAGAUAAAGAAGGCUCCACCUGUCAUGAAAUCCUGUACAAAUGCUGGAGAUCUCCAAAUCAAAUUGACUAGGAAGAGAAGCAGUGACAUCUGAGGCAGACAGCUUUCCAAGAUGACUGGAGCAGGUUGACACCUACAUAUAUAUAUACAUUCCUUGAGAUACUGCAGAAAACCAAAAAUGAAUCCAAUAAAGAAAAGAACAUGAGAAGCUG
Molecule: long non-coding RNA, 734 nt
Filed under: Equus caballus (horse)
Lineage: Eukaryota; Metazoa; Chordata; Mammalia; Perissodactyla; Equidae
Description: lncRNA (ENSECAG00000055110.1)
Source: RNAcentral